RNA transcript from Sander lucioperca (pikeperch), 2626 nucleotides. It is a transcript of the gene named gap junction gamma-1 protein-like, with no coding region annotated. The transcript has 6 exons. Lineage: Eukaryota; Metazoa; Chordata; Actinopteri; Perciformes; Percidae. The record is from RefSeq and is a predicted model, not a curated record.
GAGGGGCCUCCUCUUCUUGAAUGAGGCCGAUUUACGUGGAGGUGGCGCGGGGGGGAGGAGGAGGAGGAGGAGGAGGAGGAGGAGAGCAGGAGCCUGCAGGAAUCAGAGACCUUUUCUUUUGUCCUCUCGUUCUCGGGACCCCGACACAUGGGGUCAACGCGGGCUGAAUGGGUUCCUACUGAAAAGACUGCCUCGGACUCGGACGCACGCAGACGCCGAUGAGAGCGCGCGCUAAUUAGGAAAACCUGGUCGAGCAAUUAACACCGAGGACAGAAGCCGCGCAGAAGAGCUCAUUUAGCUCCCUGGUCACCUUAGCACCAUGAGUUGGAGCUUCCUAACCCGUCUGCUGGAUGAGAUCUCCAACCACUCCACCUUCGUGGGGAAGAUCUGGCUGACGGUGCUCAUCAUCUUCCGCAUCGUGCUGACAGCCGUCGGCGGUGAAACCAUCUACUACGAUGAACAGAGUAAAUUUAUCUGCAACACGCAGCAGCCCGGGUGUGAGAACGUGUGCUACGACGCGUUUGCACCGCUCUCACAUGUACGAUUCUGGAUCUUUCAGGUGAUCUUGAUCACCACCCCCACCAUUAUGUACCUGGGCUUCGCCAUGCACAAGAUCGCUCGCAUGGAGGACAACGAGUACCGGCCCGUCCGGAGCCCCAAGAAGAGGAUGCCCAUUGUCAGCCGCGGGGCAGUUCGAGAUUACGAGGAAGCAGAGGACAAUGGAGAGGAAGACCCCAUGAUAGCUGAAGAGAUUGAACAAGACAAGCCCGACAAAGAAGAAAAAAACUCAGAGAAAAAGCAUGACGGUCGUCGGCGGAUCCUGCGUGACGGCCUGAUGAAAGUCUACGUGUGCCAGCUGCUGUGGCGCUCCUCCUUCGAGGUGGCUUUCCUUUUCGGCCAGUACAUCCUCUACGGCUUUGAGGUGAUACCCUCCUACGUCUGCACUCGCUCUCCGUGCCCGCACACCGUGGACUGCUUUGUGUCCCGCCCCACGGAGAAGACCAUUUUCCUGCUGGUGAUGUACGUCGUGUCUUUCCUCUGCCUGCUCCUCACCCUCUUUGAAAUCAUCCAUUUGGGCGUGGGUGGCAUCCGCGACACCUUCCGCAAGCGGGCCAUGCUCGGCUCACGUGCCCCCCUUCCGUCCUCCUCGCGUGCCAUGCCCACAGCUCCGCCCGGAUACCACGCCACCGUCAGGAAGGAGAAACUGAAAGGAGACCUGAGGGACUCACCAAUGGCCGACUCCGGGCGGGAGAGUUUCGGGGACGAGGGGCCGUCGUCCAAAGAGCUGGAGCGGUUGAGGAGGCACCUGAAGCUGGCCCAGCAGCACCUGGACCUGGCCUACCAGGUCGAUGAGGGAAGCCCUUCACGAAGCAACAGUCCCGAGGUCAACGCGGCUGCACAGACGGCCGCCGAGCAAAACCGCCUCAACUUUGCCCAGGAAAAGCAGGGGGAGGCAAGCGAGAAAGGAAUACAUGCCUGAGCGUGCUUCCUGCCUCAAACGUCUGUUCUUCCAUUCCCACUGGCCUUAAACACAUGGAGGAAGCACAUAUCGGAGUGCAGUCAGACCACUGAGGGAGACCACAGCGUGUGUGUGUGUGUGCGUGCGUGCGUGUGAGAGAUUUGCCUUUCAGUAUUAGGGGUCAGUCAGAAAGGGGGGAAAAAUGCUGACCAAGCUGUGUUGUGACAAAUGGUUCAUCUCCAGGACUCUAAACUUGAAAGCCUGCCACAUCUCGAGUUUUUGCAUGCUGACCUCCUUCCAAACCUUGACUGUGCCUUCGGCUAAAACCUUGUCUACACCCUGUUCUUUCGCCUACUCUUGUGUUUUUGUGGCCAUGCAGUAAUCCUCGUCCAUUUCAGACCUUGUAAGGAUUAUCGAAAGCUUUAAAGUCCUCUGGCCAAGUGUACUUGUGUUGUCUCCCUCACAAAAGAGAGGCUCUCUACUUAUGAAAUGUCGCCGAAUGUUGGUCUCACUUUGAGAAUCUCAAAGAACACAGCCUUUGGUUAUGUCAUUUCUGGAGCGUGUGCAGCAACGAGGGCGGCUUAACCUGCGCUAGAGGAGUCCUGUUUAAUUUAAACAGAUUAAUGUUAGGGAUUAUUGGUGUUUAUCAGCCACAAGCCACACCAUUUCAGAAAUAUUUGACAGAAUUUUUAAGCCUGUAUAUUUACUCCAAUCAGCCAAAAUGUUUACCUGGGAAAUGCUUGAAUUCUUUAACGACAGGAAAUGUUCCUAAGAAUCAUUUUUUUGUACAAUCAAUUCAUUUAAAAUACUCCAUUUAUUUUUACCAGUACCUAACUAGAAUAUUUACUUUUGUCUAGAAGGACGUUUUGGCAUCACAAAUGCCAGCUAUUUCACACGUUCUUAGAUGUCAGUAAAUCCCUUCUUUCCUAAAUGAUGUACUAUAAAAGAAAACAUGAUUCAUCAUUGCAGAAAUUUAAAGAACAAUUUUGACAUUUUGUGGGGUUUUUUGCUAACAGCUGGAAACGUCUGUCUUCUGGGCUACCGUCAACAAUGAAAUUCUAUCCUUUUUGAAAUUUACAUUCUUCUUUGGUGAGACACAUUUUCCAUCCUUGACAUGCACCACUACCCCUCCGUUGUGCUGAAACACGGAUGCUUUCAUCUAUCCUG